GAUGAACGCUGGCGGCGUGCCUAAUACAUGCAAGUCGAGCGAACGGACGAGAAGCUUGCUUCUCUGAUGUUAGAGGCGGACGGGUGAGUAACACGUGGAUAACCUACCUAUAAGACUGGGAUAACUUCGGGAAACCGUAGCUAAUACCGGAUAAUAUUUUGAACCGCAUGGUUCAAAAGUGAAAGACGGUCUUGCUGUCACUUAUAGAUGGAUCCGCGCUGCAUUAGCUAGUUGGUAAGGUAACGGCUUACCAAGGCAACGAUGCAUAGCCGACCUGAGAGGGUGAGAGGCCACACUGGAACUGUGACACGGUCCAGACUCCUACGGGAGGCAGAAGUAGGGAAUAUUCCGCAAUGGGCGAAAGCCUGACGGAGCAACGCCGCGUGAGUGAUGAAGGUCUUCGGAUCGUAAAACUCUGUUAUUAGGGAAGAACAUAUGUGUAAGUAACUGUGCACAUCUUGACGGUACCUAAUCAGAAAGCCACGGCUAACUACGUG
This 497-nucleotide ribosomal RNA is filed under the name uncultured bacterium. RNAcentral's name for it is "partial 16S ribosomal RNA". It matches the Rfam family "Bacterial small subunit ribosomal RNA", at positions 28 to 507 of the family's 1533-position model. The record is from RNAcentral.